GGUGGUAGCCUUCAGAAAAAGAGAAAUAUAUGUUAUUAAUGGUUAAAAAUUGUGCUGUCCUUAAAAUAAAAGACAAAAAAUAUACAAUUAUAAACAUGGCAAUGAAUUAGAGAAGAACUUUGUAAGAGUGAGAGUAGACCCCAUUUAGUGAAACCUAGGCAAACUGGAGAAACGGGCUGACAGGAGACACACAAUUCAGCAAAGACAAAUACAGCUGUGUAUCAGGAAGGAAGAGCCCCUUGCAGUGAUACAGGCUGGGAACUGACUGGUUGACAACAGCUCUGCAGAAAAUGCACUGGGAAUUUUGCUGGACAGAGAGCCAGGAGAAGCUGUCAGCAGUGUGCCCUGGCACCCAAGAAAGGCAGCAGCCUCCAGGGCUGCAGGAACAGAAGGCCAGCUCACAGAGCAAGGGAAGUGACUGCACCCUUCAGCUCUGCACUCACUAGACUAUACCCGGAGUAUUGUGUCCAGGCUGGGCACCACAGUGCAAGCAGACAUUGACAAAAUGGAGCAGAGGGUCCCCAAGGUCACGAGGGGGCUGAAGCAUUCACUGUGUGCCAAGAGGACAAGGAACAUGCGUGUGUUCUGCCCAGCAAAGGGAAGCUCUGGGGAGCGUUGAGAAGCAUCCAGCAACUAUAAGGAAGUUAUCAAGGGGACAACCUGUCAAGAGACAGGUUCUUCUCAAUUGUGCAUGGCAGAGGAAUGACAGACAACAGGCAUAAUUACAAACAGAGGUUCUGACUAGCUAGAAGGAGAAACUUUUCAUCAUAAGGAUAGCCAGGCACUGAGAUCUCAAAAAGAGACAGAAAUCUGAAAAAACACUAUUAUCUCAACUAAAUCAAUCUUCUGUUAUUCUCAGCUGAUUUUUCAAGCUGACAAAGCUUUCGGUUUUCAUAGGUUUUGUAUUUGAAUAGUCAGAAACAGCUCAUAAUUUAUGAAUAUAGGAGGAUGAAUAAUACUUGAACAUAGAAGGAUUCUAAACGGAACAUUUAAAUAUAGCAAUGCCAAAAUCUACCAUCCAAAACCAGUACUUAUAAAGCAGCUGACACUGCACAAAUGAUCAUUAUACAAAUGAUUACGAAUAGUUCUAUGAAAAAGGAGGAAUACAAACAAAACCAGACAAAACAGCCUUGGCUACAUCAGCACUCGGUAGACUCCCAACAGAGACAAAACAUGUAGCAGAAAAAGCAACUGACAUGCUGGACAUUUUAUUUCUUUUAGAUUGCCACCUGCUGCAAACUGGAAAUAGAGAAUCUAUGUACUGUAUAAUCUGUAUCAGAAGUGAGCAUUCACAAAUGUUCUGCAGCAUAUAAACUAUCAACCAAAACUGCCCCAAAAGCACUACCACUACUCAAUUUUCACUCCAUCCCUCCUUAGGUAAAUAAAAUAGCUAAAAUGAUAGAUAUCACAGAAAACAUAAACACAGUCACAGAAUUUAAACAAUUCAGAACUACAGAAAUACAUUCCAAAAAUACAGAAAACAGCAGACAGCUUUAAUGCCCAAUGUUAAAAAUGGGAGAAAAUCUGGUUCAUCAAAAGUCAGUCUAUAACAACUGUAUUUCCCUUUACUUUUUGUGAGAGUCACUGAGGAGGAAAGCUAUCAUCCAUUAUCCUAUAAAUUUGUUUUUACUUAAAUACAAUAUUUUUACAAUUAAUCACUAAGCAAUACUGUCUAAAUCCACUUCUAGUACAAACCCACACAGGAAAAUUGAUUUUUGGCCAUUAGAGAAGUUAUUAUACGACAUCUCACAGUUCAUUGUGUAUUACAACGUUACUGAUGCUAUCACUUAAAAGGUCAGACAUACUAAACAUAAGCAUCUGCAUGUUUAUGAACCAGACUGGAUGUUAUCUCUUCAGUCUACAGAGAUUAAGCUUGCUGGAAAAUAUCUGGAUAAAAAUGUCUUUUUCAGUCCCAAGCAACAAAUCCUAAAGCUGAAUACCAUCUCUUUUCCUACUAGAAACUCAGCUUGGGGAAGUGUAUAUCCAUGAAAGCAAUUGGUUUGUUACCUUCAUCUAAUAAUAAAAGCAGAUCUUAACUUGGCUCUCUUAUUUAUCUACUGCUUCUCUGUCUUUUUUUGUACCCUAAAGGCCUAAAUAAAUUGGUUUUGUUCAGCCUUGAGAAGACUAGGGAGAGAGCAGGUGGGGAGGGAUGGAUGUGUGAAGAUCUUCACUCUACCUACAAGUAUAACAUGAAAGACUGUAAUGAAGAUAGAGCCUGACUCAUCUCAGGAGCGCACUCCACAAAGAUAAGAGAUCUUGCAGAACUGUGCUGCUUUGGCUUGCAUCUAGGAUCAAACUCCAAGAAGGAAAAAGGAGAAUACUGGUAUCACACAAAUUGUCAUAUGCUCUGGGAUGACACUGCUUGAGCAGGGAGGUUGGAGCAGAUGAUCCAUUGUGGUCCCUUCCAACCUGACCCAUUCUGCGAUUCUGAGCCUGGGUGCAGUAUAAACAGUGGCAUUAACAUUACUCCAAAAUACCUCAUUCCUGUGGACAGAACUUUUAAGUGGAAGUCCUUUGUCAAGGCUUUAUCACAGAAUGAAGUUUCUCUUACAUGUCUGCUCUGGUCCUCACCUCCUGUGACUUGUGUUCCAUAAUAUGUUACUAGUUUGUACCUCAUAGGUUGUCAUCUGCAUACUCUGUCUUAACCAAUUCAAUUUACAUGGCACAUCAAUAUUAAA
Molecule: long non-coding RNA, 2678 nt
Organism: Catharus ustulatus (Swainson's thrush)
Lineage: Eukaryota; Metazoa; Chordata; Aves; Passeriformes; Turdidae
Exons: 3
Source: RefSeq, a predicted model, not a curated record